UGACGGUACCUGGAGAAAAAGCAACGGCUAACUACGUGCCAGCAGCCGCGGUAAUACGUAGGUUGCAAGCGUUGUCCGGAUUUACUGGGUGUAAAGGGCGUGUAGGCGGAGAGGCAAGUCAGAUGUGAAAUCCCGGGGCUCAACCCCGGAACUGCAUUUGAAACUGUCUCCCUUGAGUAUCGGAGAGGCAAGCGGAAUUCCUAGUGUAGCGGUGAAAUGCGUAGAUAUUAGGAGGAACACCAGUGGCGAAGGCGGCUUGCUGGACGACAACUGACGCUGAGGCUCGAAGGCGUGGGGAGCAAACAGGAUUAGAUACCCUG
RNAcentral lists this ribosomal RNA (320 nucleotides) under uncultured bacterium. RNAcentral's name for it is "bacterial SSU rRNA". It matches the Rfam family "Bacterial small subunit ribosomal RNA", at positions 470 to 789 of the family's 1533-position model. The record is from RNAcentral.